AAACCCCCCAAGGGGCAAGGGGGUACCCCCAAGGGCCGCCGAAAAAAGGCGGCUUUCCCCCUGUGUAACGAGCCGGGGGAAUAAGGGGGGGGCAAGAUUGGUGUCAGCCCCCGCGGUAACACCAGCCCCCCGAGUUGUGGGGAUGCUUAUUUGGUCUAAAGCGUCCGUAGCCGGCCCGGUAAAAUCUCUCGUUAAAUCCAGCGUCCUAAGCGUUGGGCUGCGAGGGAGACUGCCGGGCUAGAGGGUGGGAGAGGUCAGCGGUAUUUCUGGGGUAGGGGCGAAAUCCAUUGAUCCCAGGAGGACCACCAGUGGCGAAGGCUGCUGACUAGAACACGCCUGACGGUGAGGGACGAAAGCUGGGGUAGCGAAUCGGAUUAGAUACCCGGGUAGUCCCAGCCGUAAACGAUGCAUGCUAGGUGUUGGGUUGGCCACGAGCCACCCCAGUGCCGCAGGGAAGCCGUUAAGCAUGCCGCCUGGGAAGUACGAUCGCAAGAUUGAAACUUAAAGGAAUUGGCGGGGG
RNAcentral lists this ribosomal RNA (520 nucleotides) under uncultured archaeon. RNAcentral's name for it is "partial 16S ribosomal RNA". It matches the Rfam family "Archaeal small subunit ribosomal RNA", at positions 354 to 874 of the family's 1478-position model. The record is from RNAcentral.